ACAGAACAGAGAUGGGGGGGGCGGAGGGAGUUUGCAGUGCUUGGCUGUCCUCCUGCAGACGUUGCCUGCUGCUGACCAGCCUGGGAUUUAUGGAGAGGGCCUCGUGGGGCAGCUCUGAAUACUGCCGGGCCCAACAUCACUGCCACACGUGCUGCUGAGGAGGCCCCUGUGCCUCUGGCCCUCACCAUUGCCCUCGCCCACCGAUGGCCCCUGCUGUCCGGCCCUGGGCCGCCUCUGCUGCCUGAGCCCCCGGGCCGUCUCCAGGACUCGCACUACCCAGAUGGGGUGUUUGCACAGUAUCUGUGUGGGGGCCGCGGAUUGACAACGCGGUUUCUGUCUGUCGGACAAGCACAGGGAUCUCAGUCUCCUCGGGCCUGGGGGGUGGAGGGGGCCUCCCCGGUGCGGCCCCCAGCCCCGUGCCGCCCCUCCCCGGGCCUUAC
Molecule: long non-coding RNA, 440 nt
Organism: Ursus maritimus (polar bear)
Lineage: Eukaryota; Metazoa; Chordata; Mammalia; Carnivora; Ursidae
Source: Ensembl